AUACUUACCUGGACGGGUCAUUUGGGCGACGAGGAAGGCCCGGGGCCUGGGUUAGUGGACUCCAUUGCACUUAGGAGGGGCACUUGCCUAGCAUCUUCUCAAGUAGGAGGGUAAAUGUCAUAAUUUAUGAUAGAGGGGGUACGCGUUUGUGCGGCCUGUU
Magnolia sinica is the source of this 160-nucleotide small nuclear RNA. RefSeq annotates it as U1 spliceosomal RNA. Lineage: Eukaryota; Viridiplantae; Streptophyta; Magnoliopsida; Magnoliales; Magnoliaceae. The transcript has a single exon. The record is from RefSeq and is a predicted model, not a curated record.